Molecule: ribosomal RNA, 924 nt
Filed under: uncultured bacterium
Lineage: Bacteria
Description: bacterial SSU rRNA
Rfam family: Bacterial small subunit ribosomal RNA
Source: RNAcentral
AGUUUGAUCCUGGCUCAGGAUGAACGCUAGCUACAGGCUUAACACAUGCAAGUCGAGGGGAAACGACAUCGAAAGCUUGCUUUCGAUGGGCGUCGACCGGCGCACGGGUGAGUAACGCGUAUCCAACCUGCCCAUCACUUGGGGAUAACCUUGCGAAAGUAAGACUAAUACCCAAUGACGUCUCUAGAAGACAUCUGAAGGAGAUUAAAGAUUUAUCGGUGAUGGAUUGGGAUGCGUCUGAUUAGCUUGUUGGCGGGGUAACGGCCCACCAAGGCGACGAUCAGUAGGGGUUCUGAGAGGAAGGUCCCCCACAUUGGAACUGAGACACGGUCCAAACUCCUACGGGAGGCAGCAGUGAGGAAUAUUGGUCAAUGGGCGAGAGCCUGAACCAGCCAAGUAGCGUGCAGGAUGACGGCCCUAUGGGUUGUAAACUGCUUUUAUAAGGGAAUAAAGUGAGCCUCGUGAGGCUUUUUGCAUGUACCUUAUGAAUAAGGACCGGCUAAUUCCGUGCCAGCAGCCGCGGUAAUACGGAAGGUCCGGGCGUUAUCCGGAUUUAUUGGGUUUAAAGGGAGCGUAGGCCGGAGAUUAAGCGUGUUGUGAAAUGUAGACGCUCAACGUCUGCACUGCAGCGCGAACUGGUUUCCUUGAGUACGCACAAAGUGGGCGGAAUUCGUGGUGUAGCGGUGAAAUGCUUAGAUAUCACGAAGAACUCCGAUUGCGAAGGCAGCUCACUGGAGCGCAACUGACGCUGAAGCUCGAAAGUGCGGGUAUCGAACAGGAUUAGAUACCCUGGUAGUCCGCACGGUAAACGAUGGAUGCCCGCUGUUGGUCUGAAUAGGUCAGCGGCCAAGCGAAAGCAUUAAGCAUCCCACCUGGGGAGUACGCCGGCAACGGUGAAACUCAAAGGAAUUGACGGAAGGGCGA